Molecule: ribosomal RNA, 253 nt
Filed under: uncultured bacterium
Lineage: Bacteria
Description: partial 16S ribosomal RNA
Rfam family: Bacterial small subunit ribosomal RNA
Source: RNAcentral
UACAGAGGUCUCAAGCGUUGUUCGGAUUCAUUGGGCGUAAAGGGUGCGUAGGCGGCGCGGUAAGUCGGGUGUGAAAUCUCGGAGCUUAACUCCGAAACUGCAUUCGAUACUGCCGUGCUUGAGGACUGGAAAGGAGACUGGAAUUUACGGUGUAGCGGUGAAAUGCGUAGAUAUCGUAAGGAAGACCAGUGGCGAAGGCGGGUCUCUGGACAGUUCCUGACGCUGAGGCACGAAGGCCAGGGGACCAAACGGG